RNAcentral lists this ribosomal RNA (421 nucleotides) under uncultured bacterium. RNAcentral's name for it is "partial 16S ribosomal RNA". It matches the Rfam family "Bacterial small subunit ribosomal RNA", at positions 360 to 773 of the family's 1533-position model. The record is from RNAcentral.
AAUAUUGGACAAUGGGGGCAACCCUGAUCCAGCCAUGCCGUGUGUGUGAAGAAGGUCUUCGGAUUGUAAAGCACUUUAAGUGGGGAGGAAGGGCUUUAGGUUAAUACCCUGAAGCUUUUACGUUACCAACAGACUAAGCACCGGCUUACUCUGUGCCAGCAGCCGCGGUAAUACAGAGGGUGCAAGCGUUAAUCGGAAUUACUGGGCGUAAAGCGCGCGUAGGUGGUUCAGUAAGAUGGGUGUGAAAUCCCCGGGCUUAACCUGGGAAAUUCUUUCAUAACUGCUGAGCUAGAGUACGGUAGAGGGUAGUGGAAUUUCCUGUGUAGCGGUGAAAUGCGUAGAUAUAGGAAGGAACACCAGUGGCGAAGGCGACUACCUGGACUGAUACUGACACUGAAGUGCGAAAGCGUGGGGAGCAAAC